UACGGGGGGAGCAAGCGUUGUUCGGAUUUACUGGGCGUAAAGGGCGCGUAGGCGGUCGUGACAAGUCACUUGUGAAAUCUCCGGGCUUAACUCGGAACGGUCAAGUGAUACUGUCGGACUAGAGUACAGAAGGGGCAACUGGAAUUCUCGGUGCAGCGGUGAAAUGCGUAGAUAUCGAGAGGAACACCUGCGGCGAAGGCGGGUUGCUGGGCUGAUACUGACGCUGAGGCGCGAAAGCCAGGGGAGCGAACGGG
Molecule: ribosomal RNA, 254 nt
Filed under: uncultured bacterium
Lineage: Bacteria
Description: partial 16S ribosomal RNA
Rfam family: Bacterial small subunit ribosomal RNA
Source: RNAcentral